This 284-nucleotide ribosomal RNA is filed under the name [Lactobacillus] rogosae. RNAcentral's name for it is "Lactobacillus rogosae partial 16S ribosomal RNA". It matches the Rfam family "Bacterial small subunit ribosomal RNA", at positions 493 to 776 of the family's 1533-position model. The record is from RNAcentral. Lineage: Bacteria; Bacillati; Bacillota; Clostridia; Lachnospirales; Lachnospiraceae.
UCUUUUCCUUUUUUGCCCGCCGCCGCGGUAAUACGUAUGGAGCAAGCGUUAUCCGGAUUUACUGGGUGUAAAGGGAGUGUAGGUGGCCAGGCAAGUCAGAAGUGAAAGCCCGGGGCUCAACCCCGGGACUGCUUUUGAAACUGCAGGGCUAGAGUGCAGGAGGGGCAAGUGGAAUUCCUAGUGUAGCGGUGAAAUGCGUAGAUAUUAGGAGGAACACCAGUGGCGAAGGCGGCUUGCUGGACUGUAACUGACACUGAGGCUCGAAAGCGUGGGGAGCAAACAGG